GGGAUAACCUUGCGAAAGUAAGACUAAUACCCAAUGAUAUCUCUAGAAGACAUCUGAAAGAGAUUAAAGACUUAUCGGUGAUGGAUGGGGAUGCGUCUGAUUAGCUUGUUGGCGGGGUAACGGCCCACCAAGGCGACGAUCAGUAGGGGUUCUGAGAGGAAGGUCCCCCACAUUGGAACUGAGACACGGUCCAAACUCCUACGGGAGGCAGCAGUGAGGAAUAUUGGUCAAUGGACGAGAGUCUGAACCAGCCAAGUAGCGUGCAGGAUGACGGCCCUAUGGGUUGUAAACUGCUUUUAUAAGGGAAUAAAGUUAGUCUCGUGAGACUUUUUGCAUGUACCUUAUGAAUAAGGACCGGCUAAUUCCGUGCCAGCAGCCGCGGUAAUACGGAAGGUCCGGGCGUUAUCCGGAUUUAUUGGGUUUAAAGGGAGCGUAGGCCGGAGAUUAAGCGUGUUGUGAAAUGUAGACGCUCAACGCCUGCACUGCAGCGCGAACUGGUUUCCUUGAGUACGCACAAAGUGGGCGGAAUUCGUGGUGUAGCGGUGAAAUGCUUAGAUAUCACGAAGAACUCCGAUUGCGAAGGCAGCUCACUGGAGCGCAACUGACGCUGAAGCUCGAAAGUGCGGGUAUCGAACAGGAUUAGAUACCCUGGUAGUCCGCACGGUAA
Molecule: ribosomal RNA, 667 nt
Filed under: uncultured bacterium
Lineage: Bacteria
Description: bacterial SSU rRNA
Rfam family: Bacterial small subunit ribosomal RNA
Source: RNAcentral